GACGGAAGGUGCAAGCGUUGCUCGGAAUCACUGGGCGUAAAGGGUGCGUAGGCGGCUUGGUGGGUCUGGUGUGAAAGCGCCCGGCUCAACCGGGCAGGGUCCCUGGAAACUGGCGGGCUGGAGGUCGGUAGAGGCGAGUGGAAUUCCCGGUGUAGUGGUGAAAUGCGUAGAGAUCGGGAGGAACACCAGUGGCGAAGGCGGCUCGCUGGGCCGGACCUGACGCUGAGACGCGAAGGCGUGGGGAGCGAACGGG
This 253-nucleotide ribosomal RNA is filed under the name uncultured bacterium. RNAcentral's name for it is "partial 16S ribosomal RNA". It matches the Rfam family "Bacterial small subunit ribosomal RNA", at positions 524 to 776 of the family's 1533-position model. The record is from RNAcentral.